GCGGGCAGGUCGCAUCCCGUCAGUGGUAGAGUGUUUGCUUCCCAAGCAAAAAGUCGUGGGUUCGAAUCCCAUCGCCCGCUCCA
This 83-nucleotide transfer RNA is filed under the name Dehalococcoidia bacterium. Its description in RNAcentral is "tRNA-Gly". The stretch from base 18 to 72 matches the Rfam family "tRNA", at positions 10 to 63 of the family's 71-position model. Rfam says of the family: Transfer RNA (tRNA) molecules are approximately 80 nucleotides in length. Their secondary structure includes four short double-helical elements and three loops (D, anti-codon, and T loops). Lineage: Bacteria; Bacillati; Chloroflexota; Dehalococcoidia. The record is from RNAcentral.